ACCUACUCCCACAGGGCCACACCUUCUAAUAGUGCCUCUUCCUGGGCCUAGCAUAUACAAACCAUCAUAUGUAGCUCAACCCCAACUCUUCUGAAACUCUCUUUCUCCAGUCCAUCCUACUUAGGUCUGGGAGCAACCUUUAUCACUGUGUCUUAUGUCAAAAGUCUCCUUCAAGAUGUCCUUUCCAGGGUAUUUCCUGUGUGCUGUGGGGUCACAAUCGUUGCUUGGAAGAAAGUACAGUGAGGUCCCAGAGGGCCAUGGCCUCCUGAACUUCCCUGAAUGGUAGGAAAGUGCUCAAGCCUAAGGUUGCCAUCACCUGUGGUGCCAGUGGCCAGUCCUACUUGGGGGAAAAUGCUGUUUGGAGGAAAUCAUAAUUCCCAAAUGUGGAAUUUUGGCAGUAAUAGGGACUGGGGGUCUUGUCUCUAGUUCUCACACUGUAACCCUGGUACUGCUGAGACAGCUUGAGGAAGGGAGUUUGGCAAGUGACUACACUGGUGAGUUCUGAGGUGCAACCCCAAGGUGGAGAUGUAUGCCUUUCUCAUGAGGACACAGCAAGAAGUCAGCCAUCUCAGAAGGGCAUCUUCACUGGGAACUCAACCUCCUCCAGGUGAACUGUGAGCCUGAUGUCUGUUGCUCAAACCCGUUGUCAGCAUUUUGUACACUAUCUCAAACGGACUCAAGGGAGCAGCAGCCACAUACCCCUGGUUCACUAUUGCCUACACCACAAAGGGGAUCCUUACCACACAGGCUGGGGAGAAGCUCUGUAAUUUCACACAUCAUCCCAUGGUUACAUUUCUGCCGUUCUAACUUAAGGAGUGUGUGCACACUUGCUGGCUGGAAACACAGAGAUGGUGCACACCUGGAGGAACCGGAGCAGGAUUGUUAAAGGUGUUACAGGUGUGAGCACAGGAAACACGGCUUCUCUACACUCUCACCGGAGAUCCACACUGGGAAAAUAUUUACUUUAUACAGAAACAUGUUCCUGGCAUCAAAAUUGGAUCCUACAGCCCAUCUGCUCCCAUAAUUCCUAGAGUCUUACAAUA
Molecule: small RNA, 1043 nt
Filed under: Rattus norvegicus (Norway rat)
Lineage: Eukaryota; Metazoa; Chordata; Mammalia; Rodentia; Muridae
Description: uncharacterized LOC102556644
Source: RNAcentral